UGGAGCCUACGGGGCGCAGCAGUGGGGAAUAUUGCACAAUGGGGGAAACCCUGAUGCAGCAACGCCGCGUGAAGGAAGACGGUUUUCGGAUUGUAAACUUCUGUUCUUAGUGAAGAAUAAUGACGGUAGCUAAGGAGCAAGCCACGGCUAACUACGUGCCAGCAGCCGCGGUAAUACGUAGGUGGCAAGCGUUGUCCGGAAUUACUGGGUGUAAAGGGAGCGCAGGCGGGAAGCCCAGUCAUCUUUGAAAACU
Molecule: ribosomal RNA, 253 nt
Filed under: uncultured bacterium
Lineage: Bacteria
Description: partial 16S ribosomal RNA
Rfam family: Bacterial small subunit ribosomal RNA
Source: RNAcentral